This is a long non-coding RNA of Bos taurus (domestic cattle), 528 nucleotides long. The record is from Ensembl. NCBI's taxonomy places the organism in Eukaryota, Metazoa, Chordata, Mammalia, Artiodactyla, Bovidae.
GGGUGUUUCCAAUCCAUCCUUCACUCUGCUGGUUACUCUUAGGCUUUUACUAGUCACUUUCGAGAACGGGCUCUCCCCUCUGUUGCACACUUUUCCAGGUUUGUCAUAGCUUUUCUUUCCAGAAGCAAGCAUCUUUUAAUUUUGUGGCUGCCGUCACCAUCCGCAGUGAUUUUGGAGCCCAAGGUGGACUCUUCACCAUCUGAGCCACCAGGGAAGCCCAAGAAUACUGGAGAGGGUAGCCUAUCCCUUCUCCAGGGGAUCUUUCUGGCCCAGGAAUCAAACCAGGGUCUUCUGCAUUGCAGGUGGAUUCUUUACCAACUGAGCUACCAGCGAAGCCCUGGAAAGCUCAACUAAGUUGUCAAAUACCAUCAAGGAUCCAGGUCCCACCACCCUGCUGUAUUGCCAUCCUCAGAGGACUGGGUGUCCUCAGCACAUCCCUUCCCUGUUCCAAGGAGGCUGUGGCUUCAAGCUUCUCAUCUCCAGAGGAUACGGUUCAACAGAGCCAGGAAAGAGGCAGGAGUGAAACAA